AUACCUCGUCUGGUAUGAGGGUGAAGCAGGCUGUCCCCAUACCCCGUUCGGUAUGAACGCCAAAACAUUUAAAGUCUCCAUACCCCGUCCGGUAUGAUAUAACGUUCCCGGUAGGGAUCCCUAUGAACCCGGUCCGUCCACCAUCUCUUAGGAUAUCUAGUGAGGCUGUCAUCUUAUCCAAUUAUCAAUUCGCAUCCCAUUCCUAUUUGUCCUUAGUCUCCGUUACCAACUCAAACAUGAAUACUUAAACAAACAACGUGCAUCCAACAAGGCAAGCAUAUCUUAGAUUUACAAAAUCAAGCAGUAGUGAAAUAAAUAGUGAUUCAUGCAUUCAAAAUCAUAGAAUAAAUAAACCAGAUACCAUAAUGCAUUUAAACUGUAAAAUAAAUCAAACAGGAUUUGACAGAGAAAUAUGUCCGAUUCAGGCUCCAUUAGCAACCGUAAUUAAUUAUGCAUAUCUACUCAGUUUUAUCAUUUAUUCAUACUUCAAUCCCAUGAUAGGAAAUAGGGUGAGAGGUCCUUACUUGAUUCGACGUCGAAAACUGAAUUUUCACUGUGCCUACGGGCGGUCCCUGGGUUUCCUGAAUUUUUUUUUUGGGAACUGAAACGCGCUUACGGUAUCUACACAUUUUCACUGUGCCUACAGACCCAGGGCCUACUUGGCCAAUUUCAAAAUUUCGGCACAGUGCCACCGCCGCGAGCAGCGGCGAUCUGCCUCAGGUUGGUUGUUUUUGGUCGAAUUCAGCCAAAAUUGCGUUGGUUCCUGUGAGAAAAUACCCCUAGGGCCCUCGGUGGGCCGAAAAAACACCAAAAAUUGAAACUUACCGGCGGCAGGACUCUCCGGUGCGGUGGCUCCUCCGGCUCGAGUUGCGAUUUGGUGUUUUACUCUGGUCAACCUAUAGAGGAGGGAACGAUGGUCAAAAUGGUGAAAAAAUUAUAUCGAACGGGAAUUAGGAAGGGCCUGAUCGGAGGCAAAAAUUGAAAAAACCCGCAGCAGCGCCGCUGGGCUUCGGCGGCAUUUUUCAGCCAAUUAGCCGAUGUUUUUUGUCAGAUUUGGCCAUAGGUGGGCUCAACAUCGAAUUCUGAGCCAAUGAGAGAAUUUUUACCUCGUUUGGCGGCCAGAAAUUGCUCCGGUGUGGCGCCAGGUGGCGGCGGUCGGCUCCCCGGCGGCUGGGCUAUUUUCUCUGGCGAUGGGCUCUGGCGGGUAGGGUUAGGGUUUGGGUGCGGAUGAGAUUAUUUAUAACCAUCAACUUUUAAUCUAAGUCGUUCAUCGCGAUUAAAUAGGAAAUGAAUCUGGACCGUUCAUCGCGAUGCAAUCUUGGUCGUCCGUGCGUGAUUCAAUCUGGUCUAUCUGUGCCCGUGCAAUCUGGGCCGUCCGUGCGUGUUUUUGAUCUGGGUCAUCCGUGCGCGCGAGAACGGAUCUCAGCCGUUUGAUCACGCACACGCGGAUCACCCACGUGGCUCCCUUCUGCGUUGCCUCUCGCGUCAGCAUCUCUGCCACACGGCGUGUCCUGGUUGGCCAGGGCUGCUGACCGAGCUGCAAUCUUUUUAAAUUACGUUUUGACUCCCAGUUUUCAAUUUUCUUUUCAAAAAUACCCCUAGAACCCAAAAUUUUACCCUU
Molecule: long non-coding RNA, 1621 nt
Filed under: Carica papaya (papaya)
Lineage: Eukaryota; Viridiplantae; Streptophyta; Magnoliopsida; Brassicales; Caricaceae
Description: long non-coding RNA (CPAP_LNC014480)
Source: RNAcentral